Molecule: ribosomal RNA, 420 nt
Filed under: uncultured cyanobacterium
Lineage: Bacteria; Bacillati; Cyanobacteriota
Description: bacterial SSU rRNA
Rfam family: Bacterial small subunit ribosomal RNA
Source: RNAcentral
GGGGAAUUUUCCGCAAUGGGCGCAAGCCUGACGGAGCAAUACCGCGUGGGGGAGGAAGGCCCUUGGGUUGUAAACCCCUUUUGUCAGGGAAGAACACAAUGACGGUACCUGACGAAUCAGCCUCGGCUAACUCCGUGCCAGCAGCCGCGGUAAGACGGAGGAGGCAAGCGUUAUCCGGAAUUAUUGGGCGUAAAGCGUCCGCAGGUGGCCCUUCAAGUCUGCUGUUAAAGCCCAGGGCUCAACCCUGGAUCAGCAGUGGAAACUGAUGGGCUAGAGUGCGGUAGGGGCAGAGGGAAUUCCCGGUGUAGCGGUGAAAUGCGUAGAGAUCGGGAAGAACACCAGUGGCGAAAGCGCUCUGCUGGACCGCAACUGACACUCAUGGACGAAAGCUAGGGGAGCGAAUGGGAUUAGAUACCCCAG